UACUUAGGUGGCAAGCGUUGUCCGGAAUUACUGGGCGUAAAGCGCGCGUAGGCGGCUUGAUAAGCCGGUUGUGAAAGCCCCGGGCUCAACCUGGGAACGGCAUCCGGAACUGUUUGGCUAGAGUGCAGGAGAGGAAGGUAGAAUUCCCGGUGUAGCGGUGAAAUGCGUAGAGAUGUGGAGGAACACCAGUGGCGAAGGCGACCUUCUGGACUGACACUGACGCUGAGGUGCGAAAGCGUGGGUAGCAAACAGG
This 253-nucleotide unclassified non-coding RNA is filed under the name uncultured Halomonadaceae bacterium. RNAcentral's name for it is "contains 16S-23S intergenic spacer region". It matches the Rfam family "Bacterial small subunit ribosomal RNA", at positions 524 to 776 of the family's 1533-position model. The record is from RNAcentral. Lineage: Bacteria; Pseudomonadati; Pseudomonadota; Gammaproteobacteria; Oceanospirillales; Halomonadaceae.